UUCAACCUCCUCCGCGCUCUCUCUUUUUCUACGCAUUUSGAUCGCCGAAACCCUGGAUUAGGGUUCGCUCUCCUUCAAAAUCUUGCUUCAGAAGUGAAGAAAGUGUUCGUCGUCGCUGCGUAAUCGUUGACGGCCAUCUCUCAGGGUYUCGUUUCAGUUUCCUCCGGACCAAUAUCUCAACAUCUCCACAACGAYGCCUCCUCCUCCGGUUAUCGAAUGAAUACAUUUUUAUCAAAUGGAAGCAGUGAGGCUGGAGGAGAUUCAUCUCCUGCUUGUUAAAUGUUGAAACAGGGCACAAAUUGGAUUCUGCCGCACCCAUUACAUGGGCUCCCGGUGAGAUGGUCGGUUGGAACCCAAUCGAAGAGCGCCCGGAGCCUCCCCUGCUCGUGCAGCCCCAACACCUCCUCUGCUCCGCCAAUGUAACUUCCUCUGAUGAAGAGCUUAGGAGGUGGAGAACUGGAUUCGGAUUGAAGCCAUUGUAGUUUAGAUGCAGCUUGAGGACCGAGUGAAGGUUGGGAGCGGGCUGCUUGCUUUUCUUUAUUCCUGUACCUAACUCUUCUUCGGGGUAGUUCCCGCAAUUGAGGUUUCGCAUGGAUGGCCUCAUUUUGAGCAACGKGGAGAUUAUCAAUAAAGGCCAACACCGAUAUUACCAAACAAA
Non-coding RNA from Momordica charantia (bitter melon), 658 nucleotides. NCBI's taxonomy places the organism in Eukaryota, Viridiplantae, Streptophyta, Magnoliopsida, Cucurbitales, Cucurbitaceae. The record is from RefSeq and is a predicted model, not a curated record.